CGCAAUUAUAUUGUUCUUAGUUUAUCAUAGUUAUAUACUUGGCUUAGUUAGAUUGGAAUUAUAUACAUGUUUAGGAUCGUAUAGCGUUUAUCCAUCGGAUCCAUGGCUAAAUGAUAGAUAUUGUGUAGGCGUGGUGCUUAUACCGUAUUUAUCUGCGAUUGUACCCUAUAUGCCAGAUCGCGAGGUAGUUCGUGAUAGUGGCAGCUUCAUUGAUUCUUAUAUAGUCCCCCUCUCAUGUAUAGGGCUGG
This 248-nucleotide long non-coding RNA is filed under the name Sorghum bicolor (sorghum). RNAcentral describes it as "long non-coding RNA (SBIC_LNC006280)". Lineage: Eukaryota; Viridiplantae; Streptophyta; Magnoliopsida; Poales; Poaceae. The record is from RNAcentral.